GACGAACGCUGGCGGCGUGCUUAACACAUGCAAGUCGAACGGAAAGGCCCUGCUUUUGUGGGGUGCUCGAGUGGCGAACGGGUGAGUAACACGUGAGUAACCUGCCCUUGACUUUGGGAUAACUUCAGGAAACUGGGGCUAAUACCGGAUAGGAGCUCCUGCUGCAUGGUGGGGGUUGGAAGGUUUCGGCGGUUGGGGAUGGACUCGCGGCUUAUCAGCUUGUUGGUGGGGUAGUGGCUUACCAAGGCUUUGACGGGUAGCCGGCCUGAGAGGGUGACCGGCCACAUUGGGGCUGAGAUACGGCCCAGACUCCUACGGGAGGCAGCAGUGGGGAAUAUUGCACAAUGGGCGGAAGCCUGAUGCAGCAACGCCGCGUGCGGGAUGACGGCCUUCGGGUUGUAAACCGCUUUCGCCUGUGACGAAGCGUGAGUGACGGUAAUGGGUAAAGAAGCACCGGCUAACUACGUG
RNAcentral lists this ribosomal RNA (468 nucleotides) under uncultured bacterium. RNAcentral's name for it is "partial 16S ribosomal RNA". It matches the Rfam family "Bacterial small subunit ribosomal RNA", at positions 28 to 507 of the family's 1533-position model. The record is from RNAcentral.